This is a long non-coding RNA of Tupaia belangeri chinensis (Chinese tree shrew), 407 nucleotides long. RefSeq lists it as uncharacterized. The transcript is spliced from 4 exons. Lineage: Eukaryota; Metazoa; Chordata; Mammalia; Scandentia; Tupaiidae. The record is from RefSeq and is a predicted model, not a curated record.
GACACCGUGGACAGCUCCUGAUGGCCUGGCGCGCUCCGCGUCGGGGAGGAGGGCGUGGCCUAGAAGCAUAGGAGCCUGGACCUGGAGGGAGGGGGAAGGGGUCGGGACGCAGGAAGGUUGGUGACUUGUGCUGCUGUUAAGGUCACUGCAGAGAAUGGAGCUUCGUUGUCCCCUCUUUGGUCACUCGUUUCUGAACAAAAGCCUCACUCGAGUGCAUUUUAGUGGCAGACCCUGGAUUCCACACCUGAGUUCUAACUGCAAAGGAUGCUGAGAUUCAGGGUCUGAAUCUGGGAAGACAAUGAGGAAUUUUCCUCAAAAAUAACAUUCUGUAAGUUCCGGUGACAUUCAGUUGAGGUGAAGAUGAGACAACCAUCAGAAGCGGUAGAAGCCAGCUGUGCACAAGAGCA